This 506-nucleotide ribosomal RNA is filed under the name Pseudantechinus macdonnellensis (fat-tailed pseudantechinus). RNAcentral describes it as "partial 12S ribosomal RNA". It matches the Rfam family "Bacterial small subunit ribosomal RNA", at positions 793 to 1533 of the family's 1533-position model. Lineage: Eukaryota; Metazoa; Chordata; Mammalia; Dasyuromorphia; Dasyuridae. The record is from RNAcentral.
UGCUUAGCCGUAAACCUAGGUAGUUAAAUAACAAAACUACUCGCCAGAGAACUACUAGCCACUGCUUAAAACUCAAAGGACUUGGCGGUGCCCUAGACCCUCCUAGAGGAGCCUGUUCUAUAAUCGAUAAACCACGAUACACCUCACCCCUUCUAGCUUUACAGUCUAUAUACCGCCAUCGUCAGCUCACCCCAAUAGGGCUCAAAAGUGAGCAAGAUCAUUAAACCAUAAAAACGUUAGGUCAAGGUGUAGCAUAUGAAGGGGGAAGCAAUGGGCUACAUUUUCUACAAUAGAACAUAACGGAUUGUCUAUUGAAACAUAGACAUGAAGGAGGAUUUAGUAGUAAAUUAAGAAUAGAGAGCUUAAUUGAAAUAGGCAAUAGGGUGCGUACACACCGCCCGUCACCCUCCUCAAUAAAGUAACCUUCCAUACCUAAUAAGAAUACGCCAAAAAGAGGAGAAAAGUCGUAACAUGGUAAGUGUACUGGAAAGUGCACUUGGACAAUC